Molecule: ribosomal RNA, 564 nt
Filed under: uncultured Lactobacillus sp.
Lineage: Bacteria; Bacillati; Bacillota; Bacilli; Lactobacillales; Lactobacillaceae
Description: bacterial SSU rRNA
Rfam family: Bacterial small subunit ribosomal RNA
Source: RNAcentral
AAUGUAUGCAUUCACUCUGAUGGCAGCAACUGCCGCGUGAGUGAAGAAGGCUCUUCGGGUCGUAAAGCUCUGUUGUUCGAGAAGAAUGGGCGGCAGAGUAUCUGUUGUCGGCGUGACGGUAUCCAACCAGAAAGCCCCGGCUAACUACGUGCCAGCAGCCGCGGUAAUACGUAGGUGGCAAGCGUUAUCCGGAUUUAUUGGGCGUAAAGCGAGCGCAGGCGGUUUUUUAAGUCUGAUGUGAAAGCCCUCGGCUUAACCUAGGAAUAGCAUUUGAAACUGGGAAACUUGAGUGCUGAAGAGGAGGGUGGAACUCCAUGUGUAGCGGUGAAAUGCGUAGAUAUAUGGAAGAACACCGGUGGCGAAGGCGGCUGCCUGGACUGAUACUGACGCUCAGGUUCGAAAGCAUGGGGAGCAAACAGGAUUAGAUACCCUGGUAGUCCAUGCCGUAAACGAUGACUGCUUGGAGUUGGAGGGCUUCCGCCCUUCAUUGCCGAACUUAACGCAUUAAGCAUUCCGCCGGGGGAGUACGACCGCAAGGUUAAAACUCAAUGUUUGCCCGGGGGA